ACUUCGGUGGCUUAGUGGUUAGAGCGUCUGCCUCAGAUGCGGGAGGUAGCGGGUUCCAACCCCGGCCGAAUCA
Non-coding RNA from Potamilus streckersoni, 73 nucleotides. The record is from the annotation of a GenBank genome assembly. NCBI's taxonomy places the organism in Eukaryota, Metazoa, Mollusca, Bivalvia, Unionida, Unionidae.